UAACGCGAAGAACCUUACCUGGGCUUGACAUCUGGUGCUAUCCGGUGAAAGUCGGAGUUCCCUUCGGGGACGCCAAGACAGGUGCUGCAUGGCUGUCGUCAGCUCGUGUCGUGAGAUGUUGGGUUAAGUCCCGCAACGAGCGCAACCCCCAUCUUUAGUUGCUAACAGGUCAAGCUGAGGACUCUAGAGAAACUGCCUACGUAAGUAGAGAGGAAGGCGGGGACGACGUCAAGUCAUCAUGGCCCUUACGCCCAGGGCUACACACGUGCUACAAUGGUAGGUACAAUGAGACGCCACUUGGUAACAAGGCGCAAACCUCAAAAAGCCUAUCUCAGUUCGGAUUGAGGUCUGCAACUCGACCUCAUGAAGCUGGAUUCGCUAGUAAUCGGAUAUCAGCAAUGAUCCGGUGAAUACGUUCCCGGGGUCUUGUACACACCG
This 438-nucleotide ribosomal RNA is filed under the name uncultured bacterium. RNAcentral describes it as "bacterial SSU rRNA". It matches the Rfam family "Bacterial small subunit ribosomal RNA", at positions 957 to 1392 of the family's 1533-position model. The record is from RNAcentral.